CUAGAGUCUAAUAGAGACUGUCCUAGAGUGACUUCCAGGGAGUCUAUUUAUCUUCCUGUUGUUUUCGUAGAUUACUUCAACAAAGAGAUUCUCCUAUUUUGUCCAAACUGCAUGUUCAAGUCUACACAAAUCCAGGGAGAAGGACCAGAAGGAAAAAACUGAUUCCAUAGCCUUACCUCCUGAUGGGGUCAGAAAUGAAAUUCUUCGGGGAUGGGGUAAUUGGGAGUUUGAGGGGUAAGUGGGAGUCUGGGAUUGAGGGAGGAAGCCCCUUCCAGAUCUUUGGAGGCAGCUGCAAUUUCCCCAACUUUGCUCUCUUGGUUCCCCUGCCUGUAGUGAAACCCUUAAAAUAAAACAAAACAAAAAGCCCUUCAAAGCUUACCUCAAAGGUGAAGGGAAACGAGGAGUUGUUACAGUGAGUGUUCAUCAGGCAGCAGGAGUCAGAAUGGGUGGGGGGGCAGACUCACCUAUGAAGACCCACCUGGAUUUACAAUUCUGCCGCUGUCCUCCACUGCCCCCAGCAUAUACUGGGACUCCUUCUAAAAUAACUCAUCAGCCUUUUCUUAACUCCUCCUCCUCCUUCCUUCAAAUCAAUGACUUAUUUUGAACAGAGGUAGCUGAGUUGAAAAGUGCACUGAAACCGGCAUUUCAGCCAAUUGAAUCUACUUGGGUUUUUGGACUGAAGUCCAGUCCUCCUGUCUUCUACAAGGUCAGCCAGGAACUGUGCCCUGACGUGCCCUCUUCUCUAGGAUUGAGCCUCAUCCAUACCAAGGCCUGAUUGUGCUUGGGUGAAUGAAAGUGUGUGAAAUUGCAAGGAAAGGGGGCAGAAGAAAUUCUCCCAAGAUGCACAGAAUGUGUGGAAUUAACCAGUUCGACUGGAAAAGCAACAGAGUGUUCAUAUACAGCUUGAAAAUACCGACUUCGAAACUACCGACUUCGAAACACAGAUGUUCUACCAAAUCCUCGCUUGCUUAUUCUCAGCUAAAUUCAACCUCUGAGCUUUAAAAAGAUUUUCUAAACUGUUAAGGACAAAAAAAAAAAAUGACAUUAUACAUUUACAUCUGGCUCUAUCACCAUUUAGGGCAUGCUAUUACACACAUUAAACAUCUGGGCAAGGGGAAAGGAUCUAUUUGGGAGCUUCUGGCUACCGUGACAACAGAAGGACACAGUCUCUCAAACCGUUUAGUCUCUGCUCUUCUACUUUUGACACCACUGCAGCCCUUCCAUGUUUAUUCCAAAAGCCGAGAGUAGGUGCCACUUUAAAACCACAAUCAUCAUAGUAAGCAAUAUUGAUGUGUGGAAGGUAAGUUCCUAGGGGAUGCUUCUCUUGCUUGUGCACUAGUUCAAUAUUAUGGAUAAGGCAAAUCCCCUCCAUUUGCAGCAAUGCUGUUAAAAUAAUUUGGAUUUUAUGGCUUUUAGACAUGGGAGUCUUCUAUUUCUGAGUUACGGGAUGGCUCCUAGUGAAAUGGUCUUAACAGAAAUGGUGAAAAUUUGCCACCAUUAUUUUUCCUGUUAAGAAGUCUCCCUUGUGGAUAUUCGAAACAUUUACCAACAUUUUAAAUGGCAUCGAAUAUGGACAAUUACAGCUUCCAUCUAUUAAUGUUUCCUGUACAUUGAAUGUAUAAUGCACCUUGGACAUAGCAUUUUUCCAUUUAUUCUUCAAAACUCAGUAUUAUUAUUUAGACCUCACAGUUUCAGAAACUGAACCAUGGACAAAGGUACAUCAACAUUCACUCAAAGAACUAUUUACUGAGUACUGACUACGUUGCAGGCUCU
Molecule: long non-coding RNA, 1773 nt
Organism: Mustela putorius furo (domestic ferret)
Lineage: Eukaryota; Metazoa; Chordata; Mammalia; Carnivora; Mustelidae
Source: Ensembl